This 100-nucleotide transfer RNA is filed under the name Streptomyces sp. 6-11-2. RNAcentral's name for it is "tRNA-Arg". Lineage: Bacteria; Bacillati; Actinomycetota; Actinomycetes; Kitasatosporales; Streptomycetaceae. The record is from RNAcentral.
CAGCGUGUGGUCGGGGCUCCUGGUGACGGUCGAGGCCACGGUCCUCGGCUCGGCCGUCGCGCUCGCCCUGUCCUUCGUGUUCGGCUUCGCGGCACGCAGC